Non-coding RNA from Acanthosepion pharaonis, 656 nucleotides. NCBI's taxonomy places the organism in Eukaryota, Metazoa, Mollusca, Cephalopoda, Sepiida, Sepiidae. The record is from the annotation of a GenBank genome assembly.
CUGAUUCCUGCCAGUAUAUGCUUGUCUCAAAGCUUAAGCCAGCGCGUAAGUGUAGUUCACGCCACGCAUUAGAAUCUUCGCGAAUGGCUCAGGAACUGACCUAACUCGGGACCGUAAUCCUCCCGGAGGCGAUGGAUAACUGUGGCAAUUCUAGAGCUACGGCGAUGUGACACAGGCUGCGACGUCGGCGCGUCGCCGUCGCCUGCGUGCCGCUCACGCGGGGCACCCAGUCAACGCGCGGGUCGCGGCGCUACAUAUUAGACUACUGGAGACCGAUGCGCGCUAUUCCCGUCCUCCUCUCUGCUCGGUCGUCGUUGUCGUCACUGUCGCCUUUGAGCGGCGGUCGGCGGCGGCGUUUCGCGGCGGGGCUAUGGCGGCGCGCCCGCUUUGGUGACUUGAUAACUCACUGGUCGAUCGCACGCUGGCUUUCACGCCUGGCGACGGGUCUCUUCGAGGGUCCGCCUCCUAUCAACUGUCGAUUUAUCGGUUAUGCCUGCUACCGUGGUUAAUACGGCAAUGGGAAUCGGGUCGAUCGAGAGGGAAAAGCAAACGGCUACAUCCGCGCGAAAGCGGCGCGCAAAUUACCCACUCCCGGCACGGGGAGGUAGUGACGAACGACGCCGCGACCUGUCGAGGCCCAUGAUCGAAAAUGAGCA